Pogoniulus pusillus (Red-fronted tinkerbird) is the source of this 1213-nucleotide long non-coding RNA. RefSeq lists it as uncharacterized. Lineage: Eukaryota; Metazoa; Chordata; Aves; Piciformes; Lybiidae. The transcript has 2 exons. The record is from RefSeq and is a predicted model, not a curated record.
AAUGGGCCUCAGGAAAGGCAGAAGCCUCAAGCUUGCCCAACUGGGCAGAGGGAUCCUCCUCCUGGCAUAGCUGCCCCAGGUCCCUCAGGCACUCUUCAGCAGCCCUGUUCUCCAGACCCUCCACCAGCUUCAUUGCCUGGACACACUCCAGCCCUCAAUGCCCUGCUUGGCAUGAGGACCCCAAAACUGACCCCAGGAUUUGAGGUAUGGCCUCAGCAGUGCCCAGUACAGGGGCACCAUCCCUUCCCUGUUGCUGAUCAUGGAGCUGCCACCCCACGGAGACUUCCAGGAGUAUCCUGCACUGAAGAGUUGCUGCCAUUAGCUGGGGUUGCACCAAACCAAGCUCGGCAAAGUGGCAGGAGCAACAAGAGAGGGGGAGGGGGGAACAAAAGCGUCGUUAUUAAUGACAGUACCAAAUCCUCUGCUUCGCAGUGCCUGAUGCUGUUUGGCUCCUCCCCGGUGCCAGCAGUCUGUGCCACCUCUGGCUCAUGUUCCAGCCUAUUUCUCGGGUUGAUUCCUGCUUCCCAUAUUUUUAGCAGCAGAGGAUCUCUAAUCGUGGGGGAAUUGUUUUCUGGAGUGAUUAUUUCUCUCGGGCCCCCAGAAGCCAAGCCAAAGGUCUCCUCUGAAGGGCUCUGCCAGUGCCUGCUAGCCCAGGGACAAACUCAGAGGCCGUUAAGGAGAAGGAUGCUUCGUUUGGAUGAAACGACUGAUCCCUGCCCUCUGCUGAGCCCACAGGGACUUUUGGCUGGGGAUGAUAAAUCCAGGCUGUGACUGGAGAGAGCAGCCUGCCCUCCCCAGGGCUGGGAAUGCAGGAUCUAGCUGCAGCAGGGCUGUGAUGAGUGAAGUAAAUCAUGAGCAGAGAGAAGAGUUUUCAGCGCUGCAGUGCUUCCUUUGUCCUGCUUAGCAGGAGCAAUUGGUUUGGUUUGGGGUUUUCUUCUGAUGCUCCAGAGUUAGCUGCCCAGCUGCUGUGCCCUGCAUGAUUCCUUCACUAAGGAAGCAGCAAACUGGAGAGCAGACAUGUAAAUUCAGGCUUGGUUUGGGUGAUUUUAAUCCCUAGGAUGCUGGCAUUAAGCAGUCAGGAACUUGGAAAGCCCUGGUAAGAGUUUAGGAGCUGUGGCUGUGGAGCUAAGCGAAACAUGGACCUGGAACUUGUUCCCCUCUGAGGAACCAGGAUGUGCUGCUCUUUGAGUACAAAGCUCUGUGGUUUUGUGUC